This 434-nucleotide ribosomal RNA is filed under the name uncultured bacterium. RNAcentral describes it as "partial 16S ribosomal RNA". It matches the Rfam family "Bacterial small subunit ribosomal RNA", at positions 29 to 507 of the family's 1533-position model. The record is from RNAcentral.
AGCGAACGCUGGCAGCAGGCCUAACACAUGCAAGUCGAACGAACCUUUCGGGGUUAGUGGCGGACGGGGGAGUAACACGUGGGAACGUGCCUUUAGGUUCGGAAUAACUCAGGGAAACUUGUGCUAAUACCGAAUGUGCCCUUCGGGGGAAAGAUUUAUCGCCUUUAGAGCGGCCCGCGUCUGAUUAGCUAGUUGGUUGAGGUAAUGGCUCACCAAGGCGACGAUCAGUAGCUGGUCUGAGAGGAUGAUCAGCCACAUUGGGACUGAGACACGGCCCAGACUCCUACGGGAGGCGGCAGUGGGGAAUCUUGCGCAAUGGGCGAAAGGCUGACGCAGCCAUGCCGCGUGAAUGAUGAAGGUCUUAGGAUUGUAAAAUUCUUUCACCGGGGACGAUAAUGACGGUACCCGGAGAAGAAGCCCCGGCUAACUUCGUG